This 510-nucleotide ribosomal RNA is filed under the name uncultured bacterium. RNAcentral describes it as "partial 16S ribosomal RNA". It matches the Rfam family "Bacterial small subunit ribosomal RNA", at positions 28 to 507 of the family's 1533-position model. The record is from RNAcentral.
GACGAACGCUGGCGGCGCGCUUAACACAUGCAAGUCGAACGAAGAGCGAUGGAAGCUUGCUUCUAUCAAUCUUAGUGGCGAACGGGUGAGUAACGCGUAAUCAACCUGCCCUUCAGAGGGGGACAACAGUUGGAAACGACUGCUAAUACCGCAUACGAUCUAAUCUCGGCAUCGAGGAUAGAUGAAAGGUGGCCUCUACAUGUAAGCUAUCACUGAAGGAGGGGAUUGCGUCUGAUUAGCUAGUUGGAGGGGUAACGGCCCACCAAGGCGAUGAUCAGUAGCCGGUCUGAGAGGAUGAACGGCCACAUUGGGACUGAGACACGGCCCAGACUCCUACGGGAGGCAGCAGUGGGGAAUCUUCCGCAAUAGACGAAAGUCUGACGGAGCAACGCCGCGUGAGUGAUGACGGCCUUCGGGUUGUAAAGCUCUGUUAAUCGGGACGAAAGGCCUUCUUGCGAAUAGUGAGAAGGAUUGACGGUACCGGAAUAGAAAGCCACGGCUAACUACGUG